Molecule: unclassified non-coding RNA, 254 nt
Filed under: Patescibacteria group bacterium
Lineage: Bacteria
Description: contains 16S-23S intergenic spacer region
Rfam family: Bacterial small subunit ribosomal RNA
Source: RNAcentral
UACGUAGGGUGCAAGCGUUAUCCGGAUUUACUGGGCGUAAAGCGUUUCGUAGGCGGAUGGGUAAGUCAGCAGUGAAAGACCGGGGCCUAACUCCGGAAUUGCUGUUGAAACUGCUCGUCUAGAGUAUCAAAGGGGAGGCUGGAACUGUCGGUGUAGCAGUGAAAUGCGUUGAGAUCGACAGGAACACCAAGGGCGAAGGCAGGCCUCUGGGUGAUUACUGACGCUGAUGAACGACAGCUAGGGGAGCGAAAGGG